GGAUGUGAGGGAAAACUGGCUGCAACAUCUGUUACCCUAUUCAUCACCAGGGUUGAUUCCUCUGAUCUGGCUGGCUAGGCGGGUGUCCCCUUCCUCCCUCACUGCUCCAUGUGCGUCCCUCCCGAAGCUGCGUGGUUGGUCCCCGAUAAAGGAGGACUGUUCCUCUGUCAAUGGAAUAUAAGUAGCUGUGCUCCCCUGCUAGAACCUCCAAACAAGCUCUCAAGGAAAGACUAAUGUGCAUUACAUUUAAAACCACUUUCAACACUGCUCAAGAUUG
This 277-nucleotide small nuclear RNA is filed under the name Castor canadensis (American beaver). Its description in RNAcentral is "7SK RNA (ENSCCNG00000012691.1)". It matches the Rfam family "7SK RNA". From Rfam's summary of the family: 7SK was discovered as an abundant small nuclear RNA in the mid-70s but a possible function has only recently been suggested. Two independent studies have found that 7SK RNA binds the CDK9/cyclin T complex (known as elongation factor P-TEFb). The record is from RNAcentral. Lineage: Eukaryota; Metazoa; Chordata; Mammalia; Rodentia; Castoridae.